Molecule: long non-coding RNA, 1176 nt
Filed under: Monodelphis domestica (gray short-tailed opossum)
Lineage: Eukaryota; Metazoa; Chordata; Mammalia; Didelphimorphia; Didelphidae
Description: lncRNA (ENSMODG00000036375.1)
Source: RNAcentral
AACUGGCUGUGACGAAUACAGGUGAUCUACGCCACUCCACUCCUUCAUUUUACAGGAGAGGCAAGAAAAGUCAGUGGAAGUCACCAAACAGGAGAAGAUCUCAACUUGAGAAUCUGAAGAUGCAACUUGUUCUCUCUAGAGAGUUUCUAAGAAGUUUGUAUGAAGUUUGAUGAAAAUCAUUGAACUCAUCUGAAAGUUUUUGUGAUACAGACAACAUCAGAUGUUAUGGUUGAGUUUAAACCUCAAUUCACUUAUGAGGCAAAGUUAUUAAGGAAGGGGAAAGAAUUGUAAUUGGUUUAAUAGCGAAAAAAGGAAACAAAAAGGAUGAGAUGCAUUACUUAAAAUAUGAUCAUUUGAUUGCUAACCUACCACAAGUAGGAUUUGAUAUUUAUUCUUCUUUCCUAUUCUCUCUUUCUCUCUAUUCCCACAGACUUAAAAAAGUCUCCUAGGAUUUUAUUUCUAAUUCUACUCCUUGCUCUCAGUCAGAAAUAGGGUAAAUUUGAGCACAAUUCUAGGAUGUUGUACCCAUUCUGUGGAAAGUCUGGUGGCUUGACUGAGAUCAGAGAGUUUCUUCUUACAAUUUACAUCCUCCAAAUACUCCUCAAUCCAGUGACCCCGCAUCUCCUUGUUCUUGCAUGAGACAUGCUAUUACCUGAUCAGUGUGGAGAAGAGAGAAAUGACAAGAAAAUGCAGUAAGACAAGAAGCUGGAGAUGGAUCGUGUCAGUCAAAUGAAGAUUCCAUUUGGAAUGUGACUGGGAAACAGUUGGACGCAAGAGCCAACUGUUUAAAUGGAUUCCCAUUCUUGAGACCUUUUCCCUUCUCAUCUCUACCUUCUGACUAUUCUGUCUUUCUUAAAAUCUAAGUUCCCAAUUAAAGUCCCACCUUCUAUUCAAUGACUUUCCUAAUCCUCCUUCCCUUUUUAUAAACAGAGGAACUGGCUACGAAGGGUGGAAAUGAUGGGAACCCUAAAAGGAAGUGAUGGUUCCCUCUUAGAAAUUGUGAUAGAGAAGUGAGAGUUAGUAUUAGUUCUUGACAAAAUGAGAGGCAAGGGCUAGGUGAUCAGAGUUAAGUGACUUGCUCAGGGUCAUACAGCUAGAAAGUGUGUGAGGACAGAUUUGAAUCCAGGUCUUCCAGAGAGGUCUGGUGUUCCAUCCAAUGAAUUGCCUCGAUGCCCC